UAACUUCAGGAAACUGGGGCUAAUACCGGAUAGGAGCUCCUGCUGCAUGGUGGGGGUUGGAAAGUUUCGGCGGUUGGGGAUGGACUCGCGGCUUAUCAGCUUGUUGGUGGGGUAGUGGCUUACCAAGGCUUUGACGGGUAGCCGGCCUGAGAGGGUGACCGGCCACAUUGGGACUGAGAUACGGCCCAG
Molecule: ribosomal RNA, 189 nt
Filed under: uncultured Actinomycetales bacterium
Lineage: Bacteria; Bacillati; Actinomycetota; Actinomycetes; Actinomycetales
Description: partial 16S ribosomal RNA
Rfam family: Bacterial small subunit ribosomal RNA
Source: RNAcentral